This 117-nucleotide non-coding RNA is filed under the name Homo sapiens (human). Lineage: Eukaryota; Metazoa; Chordata; Mammalia; Primates; Hominidae. The record is from Rfam by way of RNAcentral.
GCCGGGCGCGGUGGCUCACGCCUGUAAUCCCAGCACUUUUGGAGGCAGAGGCGGGUGGAUCACCUGAGGUCAGGAGUUUAAGACCAGCCUGGCCAACAUGGUGAAACCUCGUCUCUA